AGAGAGCUGUAUCUCGAAUGCCCAUAGAAGCAAGUGAGUCAAGAAGAAGGUGGUGAUCAACAGUAUCGAAAGCAGCAGAGAGAUCCAGUAGUAUUAGAAUAGAGUAGUGACCUUUAGCUUUGGCAGAGAGCAAGUCAUUGGAGACUUUUGUUAGAGCUGUUUCAGUAGAGUGAAGGGGUUUGAAACCAGACUUUAGUGAGGCGAUUGUACACAAUCCGUUCAAGCAGCUUAGAGGUAAAAGGAAGCAGAGAGAUAGGGCGGUAGUUAGUCAAACAGACGGGGUCUGAGGAAGGAUUCUUUAGAAUUGGUGUGAUUAGCGCAUGCUUGAAGGCAGAUGGUACAGAUCCAGAUGAUAGAGAAA
Long non-coding RNA from Spea bombifrons (plains spadefoot toad), 361 nucleotides. RefSeq lists it as uncharacterized. NCBI's taxonomy places the organism in Eukaryota, Metazoa, Chordata, Amphibia, Anura, Pelobatidae. The record is from RefSeq and is a predicted model, not a curated record. The transcript has 2 exons.